CCUGACAUUAUGGCAAAAUACACUUGUCGUAUUGAGGCAGACAAAUCCUUGUACCCUGUAUUGUUGUCAAAUGGAAACCUUACAGAGCAAGGAGAUCUUGAGGUACAUUUGGAUCUUUCUGUAUUAUGUGUUGAAAGUUGUUUUAUUGUAACCCUCAUGCAACUCAUAAAAUUAUUAUUCUCAUUUUUUUUUUUCAGGGGGGGAAACAUUUUACUGUUUGGGUGGAUCCUUUCAAGAAACCCAGCUAUCUUUUUGCAUUGGUUGCUGGUCAGUUGAAGAGCAGAGAUGACACAUUUACGACCUGUUCAGGCCGUAAGGUCUCCCUUAGAAUCUGGACCCCUGCUCAAGAUCUGCCU
Molecule: long non-coding RNA, 356 nt
Filed under: Capsicum annuum
Lineage: Eukaryota; Viridiplantae; Streptophyta; Magnoliopsida; Solanales; Solanaceae
Description: long non-coding RNA (CANN_LNC000048)
Source: RNAcentral